RNAcentral lists this ribosomal RNA (450 nucleotides) under uncultured bacterium. Its description in RNAcentral is "partial 16S ribosomal RNA". It matches the Rfam family "Bacterial small subunit ribosomal RNA", at positions 338 to 795 of the family's 1533-position model. The record is from RNAcentral.
CCUACGGGGGGCAGCAGUAGGGAAUAUUGGACAAUGGGCGCAAGCCUGAUCCAGCCAUCCCGCGUGAAGGAUUAAGGUCCUAUGGAUUGUAAACUUCUUUUCUCUGGGAAUAAAAACCGGUAUUUAUAUCGGCUUGAAGGUACCAGAGGAAUAAGCACCGGCUAACUCCGUGCCAGCAGCCGCGGUAAUACGGAGGGUGCAAGCUUUAUCGGGAUUCACUGGGUUUAAAGGGGGUUUAGGUGGCAGUGGUGAAAGCCCGGAGCUUAACUCCGGAACUGCCAUUGAGACUGUUUAGCUUGAAUCAACUUGAAGUGGAUGGAAUAUUACAUGUAGCGGUGAAAUGCUUAGAUAUGUAAUAGAACACCGAUUGCGAAGGCAGUUCACUAAGGUUGUAUUGACACUGAGGCACGAAAGCGUGGGGAUCAAACAGGAUUAGAUACCCGUGUAGUC